This 236-nucleotide unclassified non-coding RNA is filed under the name Hevea brasiliensis (rubber tree). Lineage: Eukaryota; Viridiplantae; Streptophyta; Magnoliopsida; Malpighiales; Euphorbiaceae. The record is from RNAcentral.
GUUUUUACAUGCAAAUGCAUAUGAGGAUGUUAUCAUUUCAUUUAAUAGGCACUGAAACAAAUGUGUGUGUAUGUUGGUAUAUGCCUGCUUAAGUGACUCAUUACUCUUUAGAAUGCUCUAAGCAGUUGAGAAGAUUACUCUUUAGUCGGGAAAUGAGAAACGAAGUUGUACUGUUUGUUUACUGUGAUUGCUCUAGUUAGUUCAAUUGAAUAUCUUCCCUUUGAAGAGGCAAAAUU